This 237-nucleotide non-coding RNA is filed under the name Enterococcus canis. Its description in RNAcentral is "T-box sequence". It matches the Rfam family "T-box leader". Rfam says of the family: Uncharged tRNA acts as the effector for transcription antitermination of genes in the T-box leader family. Lineage: Bacteria; Bacillati; Bacillota; Bacilli; Lactobacillales; Enterococcaceae. The record is from RNAcentral.
AAUUUCACGAUGAAAUGGUAAGUACAUGGGGAUAACUCCUUAACAGAGAGCUUCGGUAGCUGAGAAGAAGCAGGAGGGAACGCAAGGAAAAUGGCCAUGGAGUGACUCGCUUCGAGCGCAAGCAAGGGGUAGACGGGGGCGACCGUUACAUCGCUAGAGUAUGAUAGUACUUGAAGAGGAGCUGUAUGUGAGUGCAGCUUAAACUGAGGUGGUAACACGCAAAAAGGCGUCCUCAAG